CCAUGGUAUGUGGCCUCCAAGGCUCUUUUCCUUCGAUGGUUUCUUUAUUACUACUGAAACAUGGACAAUUAAUCUUUUUCCAAUCACAAUCCUUUGGAACAAACCCUAGAUCUUCUUUGGAUCUCUCCUAGCUUCCUCUUGUUUCUCUAAGCAACGCCUCUUCCAAAGAUCUGGCCUUUUCCAAUCCAAGGUUUCAGUCUCAACUCUCUCAUGCUUAGGACUCAAUCCCCAUUUCUAUCCAAUCUCUUCGUUUGGAUGAUCUUUUAUUUAUUCCUAUGCUUUUGUAUAGGA
RNAcentral lists this long non-coding RNA (291 nucleotides) under Elaeis guineensis (African oil palm). RNAcentral describes it as "long non-coding RNA (EGUI_LNC037840)". The record is from RNAcentral. Lineage: Eukaryota; Viridiplantae; Streptophyta; Magnoliopsida; Arecales; Arecaceae.